Molecule: ribosomal RNA, 253 nt
Filed under: uncultured bacterium
Lineage: Bacteria
Description: partial 16S ribosomal RNA
Rfam family: Bacterial small subunit ribosomal RNA
Source: RNAcentral
UACGUAGGGCGCAAGCAUUGUCCGGAAUUAUUGGGCGUAAAGAGCUCGUAGGCGGCUUGUCACGUCGGGUGUGAAAGCCCGGGGCUUAACCCCGGGUCUGCAUUCGAUACGGGCAGGCUGGAGUUCGGUAGGGGAGAUCGGAAUUCCUGGUGUAGCGGUGAAAUGCGUAGAUAUCUGGAGGAAUACCGAUGGCGAAGGCAGCCUUCUGGGCCAACACUGACGCUCAUGCACGAAAGCGUGGGGAGCAAACAGG